RNAcentral lists this ribosomal RNA (253 nucleotides) under uncultured bacterium. RNAcentral describes it as "partial 16S ribosomal RNA". It matches the Rfam family "Bacterial small subunit ribosomal RNA", at positions 524 to 776 of the family's 1533-position model. The record is from RNAcentral.
GACAGAGGGUGCAACCGUUGUUCGGAAUUACUGGGCGUAAAGCGCGUGUAGGCGGCUUGGCAAGUCGGGUGUGAAAGCCCCGGGCUCAACCUGGGAAGUGCACUCGAAACUGCUUGGCUUGAGUACUGGAGAGGGAAGCGGAAUUCUCGGUGUAGAGGUGAAAUUCGUAGAUAUCGAGAGGAACACCGGUGGCGAAGGCGGCUUCCUGGACAGUUACUGACGCUGAGACGCGAAAGCGUGGGGAGCAAACAGG